RNAcentral lists this ribosomal RNA (468 nucleotides) under uncultured bacterium. RNAcentral describes it as "partial 16S ribosomal RNA". It matches the Rfam family "Bacterial small subunit ribosomal RNA", at positions 28 to 507 of the family's 1533-position model. The record is from RNAcentral.
GACGAACGCUGGCGGCGUGCUUAACACAUGCAAGUCGAACGGACAGGCCCUGCUUUUGUGGGGUGCUCGAGUGGCGAACGGGUGAGUAACACGUGAGUAACCUGCCCUUGACUUUGGGAUAACUUCAGGAAACUGGGGCUAAUACCCGAUAGGAGCUCCUGCUGCAUGGUGGGGGUUGGAAAGUUUCGGCGGUUGGGGAUGGACUCGCGGCUUAUCAGCUUGUUGGUGGGGUAGUGGCUUACCAAGGCUUUGACGGGUAGCCGGCCUGAGAGGGUGACCGGCCACAUGGGGACUGAGAGACGGCGCAGACUGCUACGGGAGGCAGCAGGGGGGAAUAUUGCACAAUGGGCGGAAGCCUGAGGCAGCAACGCCGCGUGCGGGAUGACGGCCUUCGGGUUGAAAACCGCUUUCGCCUGUGACGAAGAGUGAGUGACGGUAAUGGGUAAAGAAGCACCGGCUAACUACGUG